GAGAGUGGAGGGAGAAGAGGAAGGGGAGGAGGAAGACUAAUAGCAAAUAGUGGGUCAGAGAAAAUUGGUAAUGGUCGGGUAGCAGCGGAGGACUUAUUAGAGGAAGUGAAAGGACUAAAAGUGGGUAUAGUCAGUGGGAGUUAGGUCAAAGUGAAGGGAGUAGGAGAGAUAGACAAGAUAAGAAUGAGGCAAGGAGGGGGAGGCGGGAGACUGGGAAAAGCUUUCGAGUACCUCGAAAGCCUACAGGUGACUGGUUUUGUCAGCAGAAGGGGGAGAAGGCAAGUGAGUGAGAGUAUCUCAAAAAUGGAGUGGGUUGCAGAGUGAAAACCUGCGUGGAUUUGUGUGUGGUGGAGAUGAUAGUGGAUUGGUCAAGUGCAGAGAGGAAGCAGAGGAACACAGUCCAACAGGCGAGUAGAGGUUGGGGUGGGGGGGGUCUGCGGAGGAAUAAAACUGACAGGAAAGCUUUCAGCGCCUGGAGACACGAUGGCUUGCUGAGAAAAAAACAGGUCAGAGCUGCUUCUUCUCGGAGACGAUCCUCAACUGCGUCUUCAAAACUCUAUCAAAGUUUUGUGACAGUGGAGGAAGAGGAUGUUGAGGACAUAAAUGCAAAACUGAAAUUGCUAACCACCUUUAAUUUGAUUUCACUGCAUAGAGAAAGAAAAGGUCUUACCUGAUGGUGAGUAAUUUAAAAUGGCACUUUUUGUUUGGGUGGACUCGAACUGAGUUUGUGUCGCUGUGUCAGCGGUGUUUGCAUGCCUCUGCACAGAUAGGAGAGAGAUUUGUUUUGCAUGUAUGUUUUGCAUUCUGUAUGGAAGGAAACACUAAAUUAAAGUGUGGCAGGUCAUUCGCAUGGUUUAGUUGUGGUUCACAACAAAAAGCGAUUCUGUUAACCCAGCGCUACUUCUUAGCAACAAAGGAUUCAUGAGGUAUGCAGAUAAUAAACUAAAGAAGACUUAGAACUGAAACUAGCAGACUUGAUAUGAUAAUAAUGAAUAUUGUUCAAGCUAUACAGUUUGGUGUACACUUUUCAAGUUACCCUUACUUACAAUUGUAAACUUGUGUGUGUGUGUAAAAUUAAAUUCAGAAAAGUCAAUUGGAAAGUCAACAUUCUGCAUCCUCUUGAAUGCACAAUGCAUAAAUUAUUCAAAC
Molecule: long non-coding RNA, 1149 nt
Organism: Labrus mixtus (cuckoo wrasse)
Lineage: Eukaryota; Metazoa; Chordata; Actinopteri; Labriformes; Labridae
Exons: 3
Source: RefSeq, a predicted model, not a curated record